GUGUAAAAAAAAAGGCAAUAGUUGGAAGCCUCAUUUCUCCUCUGUCCUCAUUUUGAGAUCCUUGCCUCAAACCCUAGUAUUCCGCCUCUCUCUCUCUCUCUCUCUCAGCAAAUCACCACCUUCAAUUGCCUCAAACCUCCGACUAACUUCAGCCGCCACCGUCGACGACGGCCGCCCAUGGAAUCCAUGCCGCCUUCGGAUGAGAAUGGUUGGGUGAAUCCUCGUCGGCCCUUAAAUCGCCCUCCCGUUGAUUUAAUCCUUAAGAAUCUCCGACCUCCACCUCGUAAUCCCUCUCCGAUCUCCACCUCAAAGUCGAAAGAAACUCCGAUCCCCACCUCCAAGACCGAAGAAACUCCGAUCUGUAUGUUUUCGCCGUAUCCCUCUUCGAUCUCCACUAAUCACCCGAGAUAUGGCCGUCUCCGCCGCCCCCCCACCGCGAUGACCGACGAGAGCGGAGGGCUCGCCGGCGGCGGACGGCUCGUCGAUGGCAGAGAUCUCUGUAAAUCUGCCGGUGGAUCUCUCAGUAAAUCUUCCACCGAUCCUUACUGGAUUCGUGGUGGAUCUUAUGGCUGGAGCGCCGAUUUUGAUUGGGAAUCCGACGAUGAUAUGUCUUCGAUGGAAAAUGAGGAAGACUUGGUGGAUCCUUACUUUCCUUUCCCGAAGGAAGGUGAGACCUGGGAUGCGGCCGUCGAAGAGGCUGAGCGGCAGAUGAAGGAGGAGGGUUUGUAUUCUGUUGGUAUUGCUGAUUGAUGGAACCAUUUUUCGUCAAUAUGCACGGUGUUGUGCAUAUUGCGAAAUCUGAAUACGUCAAGGAUUCUAUCAAGCUCUAAAGCUCCAAGGGCAAACCUCAACCUUAACAGCUUGUUGGGGGCUGUUAAGUUGGGUUUUAUGGCUGAUGUGUGAGUUCGAAUUGCUCCAGUGCGCACCCAUCUGCCCACUGUACUCUUGCUUUGUCCUAAACCCUUUGCUAAAGUUCGUAUACUGCCUCUCUUUGAUAACUGUAUACUGCUUCCCAUAGCCGGUAAACAGUUGAACGGGAGAUCGAGAAUUUCUCGAUGGCUUGAUGCUUCUUUCCACGAAGGGGCUUCCCAUUCACACUUCCUUCAAGAAGAUAUUGCACAAUUUCAUUUCUUUUUGGGGUGGAUAGAUCCUUGAUCACCACCAUUUUUGCCUCGUUUGAAACUGAAAUUGUUGAAGCUCCACUUUGAAGGGUACUUGCUGUCCGAUUCUUAUUUAUAGAAUAGGAUUUUAAUUUUUGGUGGGAAGUUCAAAAUUUUUAGCUUUGGAGCGGAAAUUAUGUAUGUUGGCAGACUUUCACUUUAAUGAAAUGAAGUUUUUGAUAUGCAUA
This is an RNA transcript of Salvia miltiorrhiza (redroot sage), 1348 nucleotides long. RefSeq lists it as uncharacterized. The record is from RefSeq and is a predicted model, not a curated record. The transcript has 3 exons. NCBI's taxonomy places the organism in Eukaryota, Viridiplantae, Streptophyta, Magnoliopsida, Lamiales, Lamiaceae.